Gymnogyps californianus (California condor) is the source of this 701-nucleotide long non-coding RNA. RefSeq lists it as uncharacterized. The transcript has 9 exons. NCBI's taxonomy places the organism in Eukaryota, Metazoa, Chordata, Aves, Accipitriformes, Cathartidae. The record is from RefSeq and is a predicted model, not a curated record.
GCUGUUCCUUCAGUCCUUUGCAGCUUUUGAGCUCUCUAAACUAUUUGGGCAGAUGCGUUUUGACAUUUAGAGGAGCGGAGGUGUCUGUUUGCGGUAGGAACUUCGGGACCGGUCAAGGUUCAGCAGCAUGUAUAAUGGAAAAUACGCUUGUCUGAAGCUCUUUUUUUUCCAGGUGCAUUGCAUCUUCCUGGAAUUCCUGGCUUUAUUGAAGAUGGAACCUUGUUUUCUUCACCAGCGUUGCUGUAUGCUGUUUUCCCCACAGCUGACGGGAGGUACGACAAGGUCACAGGAGAUGCGGCGUAAACCAUCCGGGCCUCUGCAUCUCAAUAUGCAGGGCUGAAUGUCAGAUGAGUCUCAUCUCCUAAAGCAUUAGAUGCAGCGGGACGAGCUGUGUGCCAAAGGGCAACAGAGGAGAGGCGAGCGGAGCGCUGUAAGAAGGUGAUACCCGAGCCUCGACGUGGCAACCUGUAAACAGCAGAGGCGGUGCGGGCGAGCGGCCAAGAUGCUGCAAGAGGCUCAGAGGGGCGAAGCCGCAUGCUGAGGAGCGGUCCGAGAAGGCGCCAUGCAGGCAGCCUUUGGAAUUGGAUGAGCAUUUGAGGUGCCACAAGCGAUGACGGCCACAGCGUCCGACACUGGAAUUCCUGCGGAGCAGAUGAUGAAGAGGAACCUGGCAACUGCAGGAAUAUCCUGGUUCACUGGUG